Molecule: transfer RNA, 83 nt
Filed under: Dactylonectria estremocensis
Lineage: Eukaryota; Fungi; Ascomycota; Sordariomycetes; Hypocreales; Nectriaceae
Description: Ilyonectria sp. 3 AC-2011 tRNA
Rfam family: tRNA
About the family: Transfer RNA (tRNA) molecules are approximately 80 nucleotides in length.
Source: Rfam by way of RNAcentral
GCCCGGUUAGCUCAAUCGGUAGAGCGUGAGACUCUUACUCACAGUUCAUCUCAAGGCUGCGGGUUCGACCCCCGCAUCGGGCU